CAAGCGCACCGAAGCGGAAGCCGAGAAGGCCAAGAAGGACGCCGAGGACCGCAGCAAGCAGCAGACCGAGCAGCAGCGCCUGAGCGAGCAGCGCGCCAAGGAAGCCGACGCCGCCAAGCAGAUUGCCGCGCAGCAGGAUGCCGCGCGCCGCGACAACGAGCGCCAGGAAGCCGAGCGCCAGGCCGCCGCCCGCCGCGAGGCCGAGCAGAAGCAG
Molecule: unclassified non-coding RNA, 214 nt
Filed under: uncultured Ascomycota
Lineage: Eukaryota; Fungi; Ascomycota
Description: sequence contains ITS1
Source: RNAcentral